UCCGGUUUGUCACCGGCAGUCCCAUUAGAGUGCCCAACUGAAUGUAGCAACUAAUGGCAAGGGUUGCGCUCGUUGCGGGACUUAACCCAACAUCUCACGACACGAGCUGACGACAGCCAUGCAGCACCUGUGUUACGGUUCCCUUUCGGGCACCCUCACAUCUCUGCGAGGUUCCGUACAUGUCAAGGGUAGGUAAGGUUUUUCGCGUUGCAUCGAAUUAAUCCACAUAAUCCACCGCUUGUGCGGGUCCCCGUCAAUUCCUUUGAGUUUUAACCUUGCGGCCGUACUCCCCAGGCGGUCAACUUCACGCGUUAGCUUCGUUACCAAGGAAUUGCUUCCCCGACAACCAGUUGACAUAGUUUAGGGCGUGGACUAC
RNAcentral lists this unclassified non-coding RNA (376 nucleotides) under uncultured Gammaproteobacteria bacterium. RNAcentral describes it as "contains 16S-23S intergenic spacer region". Lineage: Bacteria; Pseudomonadati; Pseudomonadota; Gammaproteobacteria. The record is from RNAcentral.